This is a long non-coding RNA of Felis catus (domestic cat), 1268 nucleotides long. RefSeq lists it as uncharacterized. NCBI's taxonomy places the organism in Eukaryota, Metazoa, Chordata, Mammalia, Carnivora, Felidae. The record is from RefSeq and is a predicted model, not a curated record. The transcript is spliced from 7 exons.
UGCGGCCCUUGCUUUCUCUGUGGCUCAAGGCCCGCCCGGGUCUGCGUGCUCCUCCUCGGUUACCUGUUUGGUCCCCUUUCACUAACUCCUCCACACGGCGGGGACAGGCAGGGUCACGGAGGGAAGAAACAGGAGAAUGACAGGACCCCGCAGCGGCUGUGACUCGCGAAGUCCUGGCCGCCUGUCCCCACAUCACAGCCGGUAGGGGGGUGGGGGAGGGUCUGGACCGGGACUCCCUCGCGCCACGCGGUCACGCAGGUGGACCCAGAGGUCUCCGCCCGCUGCGCCACAAGGGCCGAGUGGAGCACCGCCCCUGAGGGCGCCCGGAAGCAGUAGGAGCCGCUGCCAGGCGCCCCCGUGAGGCACCUCGCCGCCGCUGGGAGGAAACUGAGGCCCUGAGCUCAGAAGGGACUGCUCCUUCCAAACUGGGAAAGGGAUUGCUUCAUCUGAUGCAUAGAAACCAGCACAGAGAGUCCAGCAGGACGAAGAAAACACAACUGCAUUGCCGUGCGGGAAACCAGCAACCCUGCAUGUCCUGUGGGUGAAGCUGCUGCCCUUGGGCUCACCUUCCCAGAGCCCCCCUGUGCAGACUGCUGGCUAUUAGCAAGAGGGGAUUUGAUGUCCCUCUCAUCUUGGGAUGCAGAUCUUUCAGUUGUGUUUUAUCUUCAAAUAAAAAAGAGAAACUGCUUCCAGAGCCCAGAGGGACCACUGUAACCACAGGAUCACCAUGACCAUCUCUUUGGCCCCAGGAAAGGGCCCACUCAGGUAGCAUCAGACUGGAUGAGGGACUUCCAAAUGGAACAACAUGUUGCUACUGUGUCCUGGAAGGUCCAACUGUCUCCACUUACAAGGGUCUUAUGUAUCUCCAUAAGGUUUGAGAAAACAGUGCAGCUUGAAAGAAUGGAGCCACAAUUAGAAAGCUAGGACUCUUUUGGAGGUCAGAAGGAUGGGAGAAUUGGUUGUGAGAACAAUGUGGAUACUGAUGGAGAAAAUACAAGGUGGGCCAGAGUGGCCAUUGAUUUUCUUCCUUCGGUUUCUGAGAAAGCUUUGCUCCCUAGGCAUCUUUAUCCGGCUUGCUGACCGAAGCAUUAUUCACACUUCUCCUGUGGCCAUGAGGGUGAGACAGCUGCUGCUAGGGACUCCAGGCUCCUACCUCUGAAGGACAGUGGACUAAAUUUCUGACAGGGGCCAUGAGACACCUUUGAGGGAAAGAGAUGUAAGAGCUCUGAUCUCUGAGGACAUAAAGGCUCUCACAGGUGCUUGCUUUA